CGGAACUGUAGGAACAAGUCCUACAAAAAGGGCGAGAAUCUCCCCCAGUUCGAUCUCCGAUGCAACCCACUGUCUGCGUCAGACUGGUGGGCCACCAUGGGGACGAUAUUGACCGAUGCCAUGCAAUGGCCGAGCUCCAGGCAACUUGCCAUGGCCGAUUAUCACUCAGAUCAACUCCCUGAGGUUUUAUGAUUCCCUAGGGAAGCAAGCUUCCCCCAACCUCUGGAAAUACCCAAUCAGCCCGAGCAAGGCCAACCCUCGGUUGGGCACCGUAACGGCUUCUAUCCCUCCACCAUUCAUCCCUUCGGCACGGUACAACGCCUUGGGAUUGGGACCCCUGUUAGAGGACUCUUACCUCACGUGGGACAAACAGCGGCUCAAUUCUUCAA
This 389-nucleotide long non-coding RNA is filed under the name Androctonus crassicauda. The record is from RNAcentral. Lineage: Eukaryota; Metazoa; Arthropoda; Arachnida; Scorpiones; Buthidae.